GACGAACGCUGGCGGCGUGCCUAAUACAUGCAAGUUGAGCGCUGAAGGUUGGUACUUGUACCGACUGGAUGAGCAGCGAACGGGUGAGUAACGCGUGGGGAAUCUGCCUUUGAGCGGGGGACAACAUUUGGAAACGAAUGCUAAUACCGCAUAAAAACUUUAAACACAAGUUUUAAGUUUGAAAGAUGCAAUUGCAUCACUCAAAGAUGAUCCCGCGUUGUAUUAGCUAGUUGGUGAGGUAAAGGCUCACCAAGGCGAUGAUACAUAGCCGACCUGAGAGGGUGAUCGGCCACAUUGGGACUGAGACACGGCCCAAACUCCUACGGGAGGCAGCAGUAGGGAAUCUUCGGCAAUGGACGAAAGUCUGACCGAGCAACGCCGCGUGAGUGAAGAAGGUUUUCGGAUCGUAAAACUCUGUUGGUGGAGAAGAACGUUGGUGAGAGUGGAAAGCUCAUCAAGUGACGGUAACUACCCAGAAAGGGACGGCUAACUACGUG
RNAcentral lists this ribosomal RNA (497 nucleotides) under uncultured bacterium. RNAcentral describes it as "partial 16S ribosomal RNA". It matches the Rfam family "Bacterial small subunit ribosomal RNA", at positions 28 to 507 of the family's 1533-position model. The record is from RNAcentral.